AAAAACAACAAAAAUACGCUGUCAGUUUGAGUUGUCAAUAUAGCUCUCUAUUUUUAUGCUGCCAGUGAGGUGAAUGCUUAUAAAGGUAUGAUAUUGUAUAAAGCUUUUGUCAGAAAAUUAUUUAUAUUUAAUUAUAUAUUAAACUGUGGUGCUAUUUAUUUUUUAUGUUUCUAACUGCCAGUAUUAUCUUACAGUAUUAUUGUAACUUAAAUUUAAGACGUUUUCAAAGAAUUUAAAUAACUGCUAAAAAUGUAAAGAAAUCCUUUUUUUUUUUG
Non-coding RNA from Biomphalaria pfeifferi, 275 nucleotides. Lineage: Eukaryota; Metazoa; Mollusca; Gastropoda; Planorbidae. The record is from the annotation of a GenBank genome assembly.